This 446-nucleotide ribosomal RNA is filed under the name uncultured bacterium. RNAcentral describes it as "partial 16S ribosomal RNA". It matches the Rfam family "Bacterial small subunit ribosomal RNA", at positions 338 to 795 of the family's 1533-position model. The record is from RNAcentral.
CCUACGGGAGGCAGCAGUCGAGAAUCAUUCACAAUGGGGGAAACCCUGAUGGUGCGACGCCGCGUGGGGGAAUGAAGGUCUUCGGAUUGUAAACCCCUGUCAUGUGGGAGCAAAUUAAAAAGAUAGUACCACAAGAGGAAGAGACGGCUAACUCUGUGCCAGCAGCCGCGGUACUACAGAGGUCUCAAGCGUUGUUCGGAAUCACUGGGCGUAAAGCGUGCGUAGGCUGUUUCGUAAGUCGUGUGUGAAAUGCGCGGGCUCAACCCGCGGACGGCACAUGAUACUGCGAGACUAGAGUAAUGGAGGGGGAACCGGAAUUCUCGGUGUAGCAGUGAAAUGCGUAGAUAUCGAGAGGAACACUCGUGGCGAAGGCGGGUUCCUGGACAUUAACUGACGCUGAGGCACGAAGGCCAGGGGAGCGAAAGGGAUUAGAUACCCGAGUAGUC